GCCCGGUUAGCUCAGUCGGUACCUCUACGUAGAGCACCAGACUCUUAAUCUUGUUGUCGCGGGUUCGAGCCCCGCACUGGGCU
Molecule: transfer RNA, 83 nt
Organism: Caenorhabditis briggsae
Lineage: Eukaryota; Metazoa; Nematoda; Chromadorea; Rhabditida; Rhabditidae
Rfam family: tRNA
About the family: Transfer RNA (tRNA) molecules are approximately 80 nucleotides in length.
Source: Rfam